CGAUGCCACGUGGAAAGCCGAAGUACACAGGCGGGAUUCCAAGCUGGGAUCCGGCCUGGAUCUGCUUUUCAGGACGCCAUUGCUGCUGACCAGUCUUCUCACCAGGCCUAUGUGUCUGGCGAGCCCCAGGGCAUACAAGCCCAGGGUGAGGUCUGCCUCCUCAAUGAAGCCUGUCCCACCUGCCCAGGCUCCCAGCUUGUUCUCUGAGCCUCUCCAGGGGCUUCUGGAUUUACCCCUCAUCUAGCCUUUAACAUAGACGAGUGUUUGGCCAGAACAGACGCAGGGACACCCCUUCUCCCAGCCUCUGGCCACUCUCCUGCAUCUUAUCUAGUCACCACCUUCAGAACCACCUCCGGGACCAGCAACACACUGUUUGUUUGUUUUUCUACCUUAACUCCUUACUGCCGAACAACCAUGAGCUCCCAAAUUCAUCAGAAUUAUUCCACCCAGGUGGAGGCUGCGUUCAACCGCGGGGCCAGCCUGCAUCUGCGGGCCUCGCACACCUACCUCUCUCUGGGCUUCUGUUUCCACCAACGAUGUGGCUCUCGGGGCGUGGGCCACUUCUUCCGGGAGUUGGCGGAGAAGCCAAGGGUGCUGAGCGUCCCUUAAAGUUGCAAAACCAGCGUGGUGUCCGCAUUCUCCUCCAGGACCUGCUGAAGCCUCCCCAAGGUGAGUGGGCAAAACUCAGGGCGCCAUGGGAGCUGCCCUGGCUUAGAGAGGAACCUGAACCAGGCCCUUGUGGAGCUGCCGGCCCUGGGUUCUGCCCGCAGGCUCUCACCUCUGUGACUUCCUUGAGAACCACUUCCUGGGUGAGGAGGUGAAACUUAUCAAGAAAAUGGGCGACACCUGGCCAGCCCCCAGGCUGGGCUGGGCUUACCCUCAAGCAUGACUUUGGAGCCGAGGCCUUUGAGGAGCCCCUCUGCGUUCCCCUAGUGUCUGCCUUUUGCCUGAGCUUCUACCUGAAACUACUAGUCAUUCUUUUAACC
Long non-coding RNA from Myotis daubentonii (Daubenton's bat), 986 nucleotides. RefSeq lists it as uncharacterized. NCBI's taxonomy places the organism in Eukaryota, Metazoa, Chordata, Mammalia, Chiroptera, Vespertilionidae. The record is from RefSeq and is a predicted model, not a curated record.